AGUAGCAGCGUGUCACAGUGUCACAGAGGGGACAGCACCAUUGCCUGCCUGCCUCCCCUGGCACUCUAACAGCAGAGCUGGAGGACAGGAUUUAUGGCUCUGCAGAGGAUUUUGCAGCAUGUGAUAUCCCAGCACUCCUCUGACUGAGACAUUGUCCCUUAGCCCACCAGUGACAGCAGGGACCCAGAAGGAACAUAUUCCUGACAAUUUCAAAUUGAACCUCAAGCCUGGACUUGUGAAAAGCAUCUGCCUGCUGCAUCUUGGACAAGAAGACUGACAGUAAUUCCAAUGGGUUAACAUCACCCUCUGUGAUAUCUGCUACCUCUGCAGGGAGCUCAGCUGUGACAUGUAGAACUUGUGAAGCCAACACCACUCAGCACGGACGAAUUAUUUUUGCAGUGAUGCUGCAAGAGAGGGGAAGCAUCUAUUCCCUCUAUCCUAUUUCAUUAAAAGGCAGUGCAUUUUAUGACUUCUCCACUCCAGCUGCAAUGAUUCAGUGCCAGGUGCUGGAGCUUAUUCCCCUCUCUCCUUUGCCUGCAGAAGCAAACCAGCACUGAUCUGCAGAAGUCACAGUUUCCCUCUCAAGAGCUCUCCCAGGGCUGGGAGUCUCUGUGCUGCCCAUCAGCAGCCAUUCCUGAGUGUCCAGCAUGUCCCUCAAGUUACUGGAAACCGUAGGCUUUACCUUCCCAUUGUGUAAAGGUAAUUUGGGACCAAGGCUUCAAGCAAACAAGAAAUGGCAUUAAAACAA
Passer domesticus (house sparrow) is the source of this 748-nucleotide long non-coding RNA. RefSeq lists it as uncharacterized. NCBI's taxonomy places the organism in Eukaryota, Metazoa, Chordata, Aves, Passeriformes, Passeridae. The record is from RefSeq and is a predicted model, not a curated record. The transcript has 4 exons.